UUUUGAGAUGAUGAAUGUACUUUAUAAUGGGUCAUUCUGAUGGAUUUCACACCCUGGGCUUAUCCAGCUGUUUGAUUGUGUCCUUUAAAGUUUUAACUUCAUGGUAAAUAUAUCUUAAAUAUAUAUUGUUAACAGUUAUUAAUUAAAAAGCAAAAUAGUAUUUGAAAGAUACUUUCCAAAGACCUAUGAUAUUUUUUGUUAUUUGUGAGCAUUUGUUGUUAUUUGUGAGCAUUAAGUUGUCUGAAUGUUACUGUUUCAUCUACAUUAUUCAACAAUAACUCUAUUCAACAAUACUGUCAGCAGUAUUGAGAAAUGAAUAUUUAAAGUAAUGAGUAAGCUAAUUGACGUGGAUUGUGACAUCAGGGGAAAAAAACAGGAAAACAACAAAAGAAGCAAGUUUGGAGUAAACACCAAAAAAUCCCAAUAUGAGAAAACUGAGCUCAGUAAUUAUAUUCAAGUUUAUAAUCCAGCUAUCCAAAUCAACAAUAUGCUGAAAGUGAAGAUACGUUCUCCCCUAGCAUAAAUAAUAUCAAGAUAACAAUAAUGUUCAAUGCUAUGACAUGCAAAGAAGGUGCCGAGCUAAGCUCAUAAUAUUCUGCUUUUGAAAUUUUUACAUGAUAGUGGAGUCUGACUGCCAUAAGGGCUGGCAAACACUUUGCUUACAAUUUCCUGUAAAAGUAGCUAAAGGUUUUUUGAAUGAAUAGAAUAAUUUCCAAGCAUAUAGUUCCUUUAUGCUAUGUUAUUCUGAAAUGAUAGAACUGUUUUGGGGCUCUAUAUUGCAGACAUAAAAAGUAAUUACAGAGCUAGCAAGAUGACUCAAUGAGUCAAAGCACAUGCUGCCAGUCUGAUGACCUGAGUUUUAUCUUUGGAAUUGAGAUGGCAAAAGGAGAAGAUCAAUUUCUGCAGGUUUUCCUCUGACAUCCCCACCUGUACCAUGACAUAUGCCUCCCAAUUCUUCCUAACACACGGCAAACAACAAGCAAACAGAAAAAUAAGUGUACAAAAUAUAUUUUGAAGUAGUAACAAAUCCUUAAAGAACAUUAG
RNAcentral lists this long non-coding RNA (1044 nucleotides) under Mus musculus (house mouse). RNAcentral's name for it is "long non-coding RNA chr5:19413064-19414108". Lineage: Eukaryota; Metazoa; Chordata; Mammalia; Rodentia; Muridae. The record is from RNAcentral.